GAACGAUGAACUCCAGCUUGCUGAGGGGAUUAGUGGCGAACGGGUGAGUAACACGUGAGUAACCUGCCCUUGACUCUGGGAUAAGCGCUGGAAACGGCGUCUAAUACCGGAUACGAGCUUCAGCCGCAUGGCUAGGAGUUGGAAAGAAUUUCGGUCAAGGAUGGACUCGCGGCCUAUCAGCUAGUUGGUGAGGUAAUGGCUCACCAAGGCGACGACGGGUAGCCGGCCUGAGAGGGUGACCGGCCACACUGGGACUGAGACACGGCCCAGACUCCUACGGGAGGCAGCAGUGGGGAAUAUUGCACAAUGGGCGAAAGCCUGAUGCAGCAACGCCGCGUGAGGGAUGACGGCCUUCGGGUUGUAAACCUCUUUUAGUAGGGAAGAAGCGAAAGUGACGGUACCUGCAGAAAAAGCACCGGCUAACUACGUGCCAGCAGCCGCGGUAAUACGUGGGGUGCAAGCGUUGUCCGGAAUUAUUGGGCGUAAAGAGCUCGUAGGCGGUUUGUCGCGUCUGCCGUGAAAUCUGGGGGCUCAACCCCCAGCCUGCAGUGGGUACGGGCAGACUAGAGUGCGGUAGGGGAGAUUGGAAUUCCUGGUGUAGCGGUGGAAUGCGCAGAUAUCAGGAGGAACACCGAUGGCGAAGGCAGAUCUCUGGGCCGUAACUGACGCUGAGGAGCGAAAGCGUGGGGAGCGAACAGGAUUAGAUACCCUGGUAGUCCACGCCGUAAACGUUGGGAACUAGAUGUGGGGACCAUUCCACGGUCUCCGUUUCGCAGCUAACGCAUUAAGUUCCCCGCCUGGGGAGUACGGCCGCAAGGCUAAAACUCAAAGGAAUUGACGGGGGCCCGCACAAGCGGCGGAGCAUGCGGAUUAAUUCGAUGCAACGCGAAGAACCUUACCAAGGCUUGACAUAUACCGGAAACGGCCAGAGAUGGUCGCCCCGCAAGGUCGGUAUACAGGUGGUGCAUGGUUGUCGUCAGCUCGUGUCGUGAGAUGUUGGGUUAAGUCCCGCAACGAGCGCAACCCUCGUUCUAUGUUGCCAGCACGUUAUGGUGGGAACUCAUAGGAGACUGCCGGGGUCAACUCGGAGGAAGGUGGGGAUGACGUCAAAUCAUCAUGCCCCUUAUGCCUUGGGCUUCACGCAUGCUACAAUGGCCGGUACAAAGGGCUGCGAUACCGUAAGGUGGAGCGAAUCCCAAAAAGCCGGUCUCAGUUCGGAUUGGGGUCUGCAACUCGACCCCAUGAAGUCGGAGUCGCUAGUAAUCGCAGAUCAGCAACGCUGCGGUGAAUACGUUCCCGGGCC
RNAcentral lists this ribosomal RNA (1303 nucleotides) under uncultured bacterium. Its description in RNAcentral is "bacterial SSU rRNA". It matches the Rfam family "Bacterial small subunit ribosomal RNA", at positions 64 to 1380 of the family's 1533-position model. The record is from RNAcentral.